Lycium ferocissimum is the source of this 1433-nucleotide long non-coding RNA. RefSeq lists it as uncharacterized. The transcript is spliced from 3 exons. Lineage: Eukaryota; Viridiplantae; Streptophyta; Magnoliopsida; Solanales; Solanaceae. The record is from RefSeq and is a predicted model, not a curated record.
UGACCAUUCAGAUUCUUUGACGAUUAUAUGUGAUCAUUCUUAGCUUAUAAAUACAUGGCGCUUCACAUUCUUUUUAAUAUCUUUAUUGUUGCUUUGUAGGUGUUUGCUAAUUUGAGAUCAUUGGAAACUGGAUUCAAGAAUUAAAAUUUGUUUGUGGCGUAGAAGAUCUGCCUAAUUUUACAUUGACUUUAUAUAUAGCUUUUGUUCUCUCAAGGAGUAUAUUGUUUAUUUUGUCCUAUUUCACACCUUUUAAUAUGUUGGAGAGAGCACAUUUGUAAUUCUUCUAAUUAAAAUUCUUUCUGCUUUCUUUUGCUAGGGGUGUUUUACACGGAUUGAAAUUGGAGCUUUGGAACGCCUGAAAUUAUAGAUCAACUUCAAUCUAGUGCAAGAUGGGGAAUUUUAGUCGUGACAGCAAGCAGAGGCGAAUCCAGAAUUUCAAGAGGAUAAGUUCACUAUUAGCUAUAGGUUUUUUUUUUUUUUUUUUAAAUUUCUUUUGCCUUUGGUUCGUUAUAGCUUAGUGCUUAUGGGGUUUUUUGAUUUCUUUUGCCUUUUGGGAUUUGGGUAAUUAAAAAUAAAGGAAAAAAAUUUCAUUAGAGGUGAUAUAAAAUAGAAACACGAUUUUCACUUUCGGGUAAUUAGAAUUAUAGAAGAAAAAUGAUUUAGAAUAAUAUAAAAAGGAAAGUUAAAAGGCUGCUUUAAUUAAAUCACAGAACGUGCAGGAGCUUCGAUCCCGAGACCUUGAGGAAAUAAACACAACCGUUAGCCAGUGCUCCACUCGACUUGGUUUGAUCAUGUGCUCCUUCAGCUCCAUGGGCAAGGAUGGCGCUAUAGAUGUCCGAAGAGGAUUGUCGUCAAGGUCACAAGCUAAGGAGAUGCAAUCAAGGUUGCUGGGCUUUAAUUGGAAAUCAAGAAGAUGCUUAUCGCGGAAGAAAAACCCAAGAACGAGUCUAAGAAUUAUGGAGACGAAUGGGCUAGAUGCUACACAUAUUUUAUGAUCUAAGUCCAGGCUCAAGAGGAGGAAGAUUGGGGCCCACAUGGAGCCCAAAAGAGCUUAAAUUCAAGCCCACAUGGGGCUAAAAUUUUUGCCAAAAAAAAAGAGCUUAAAUCCACCCCAAAUUGGAUAGGAGAAAGUCACGUACAAGGUGGCUUUUAGGAAACCUUUUCCUUAUUCUAUUAGGGAAGAAGUUUGCCAAUUAUUUUACAUGCUUUCCUAGUUUAAUCCUAAUUAGGUUUUAGUAUUUAAUUAUUUUCAUAAAAGUGGAUUCUAAUCCAAUUCUAUUUGGGAUAAGUUUCCCCUAUAUAUAGGGGUGGAUUUUGUUAUUUUCAUUAGACAAAUAUUAUUAUUAUUGAGAGUUUCUCUACUUUACAGCUUUGUAUGUGGCUACUUUGGAUUUAUCUUGCAACAUUAUAAGAACGAUUCUUUUAAGAGGUAA